RNAcentral lists this transfer RNA (62 nucleotides) under Sycobia sp. 2 JXW-2020. RNAcentral describes it as "tRNA-Thr". Lineage: Eukaryota; Metazoa; Arthropoda; Insecta; Hymenoptera; Epichrysomallidae. The record is from RNAcentral.
UAGCUAUUAAUUUAACUAAAAUAUUAAUUUUGUAAAUUAAAAAUAAGUAAUCUUAUAGCUAA